Molecule: non-coding RNA, 73 nt
Organism: Zootermopsis nevadensis
Lineage: Eukaryota; Metazoa; Arthropoda; Insecta; Blattodea; Termopsidae
Source: Rfam
GCCACGGUGGUCUAGCGGUCAGAACACUAGCCUUGUAAACCUGGGGUCCCGGGUUCAAUUCCCGGUGGUGCUC